This is a long non-coding RNA of Gallus gallus (chicken), 5659 nucleotides long. RefSeq lists it as uncharacterized. The record is from RefSeq and is a predicted model, not a curated record. The transcript has 2 exons. Lineage: Eukaryota; Metazoa; Chordata; Aves; Galliformes; Phasianidae.
AGCGCUCCGUGAAGACAGCCCUGUGUAGACCAGCUUUCAUUUUCAGUGCUCCCUUGUAUUUUCACUGCUUGAAUUCGAGUGAAGAUUUUCCCUCCUGACCUGGUGCCAUGCAGCUGCUCCAAUGCUGGGACAUCACUGGGCAAGGCCGAGACUCCUUCAGGCAUGUAGAAGCUUUAGAAGUGAAGACCAAACAGCGGCUGCAAAUCGAUCAAGGGAGCCUGAGAAGCCUGAGGAGCCUCCAGAGAGCUGAUGGUGGAUGGCAUGGGCUGCAGGAAGGCGCUGCUCCGCGGCACUCAGCCAUGUCCCCUGGCUGCUGUGGGAGCUGCCUCCCUGCAACCCAGCUGUGCUGCACGGCGGCUCAGCAUCCCCAGGCAGUGCCUCCGGCCCUCUUCUGGGAAGCAAUUAUAACCCCAGGAUCCUACUAAUUUCCCAAGGGGAUUCGUAUCAAUACUGCUCAUAUUUGUAUAAAUCUCCAUUCCCAUAAAGGUUAGAAGCUCCGAAAGAAGAGAAUGAAACUUCGAAAAUGAGUGAGAUAAGUAACUGAAACAAAGAAGUUUGAUUUUACCCUACUUGGAUUCAUCAAGAUAGUUCGAAGGAUUCAAACAAAUAUGCUGUGUAAACAUUUAUUUCUAUUCUAUUAUUUCUAUUAAUUUCUAUUUUUUUUUAACAGAAAGUAUUCUAAAACCUGCUUACUUCCCCCCUUUACUAUCUUAUUUCUCUCAGCUUGAAUAGCUAAAAUUUAUUCACCAGUUUUGCUCUUGUAGUGAUUUCAAAGCUUUCAGGACAAAUGGUGUGAGGGAAGCCGGCUAUUAUUUUUUAUUUGAUUAAAAACUAAAAUGCUGAAACUUUUCUUUUGCUUCUGGGCAUCAUAAAUGGUUAAAGAGUUAUCUCCCAGGUCUGCUGCCCAAUUCUUUUCUCGCCACAGUGAUUGACCUAAAAAUCCAAGGUCUGCAAACUUCAUGCACUUGGUGGCUUCACACCUGCCGGUGGAGUUGCACACAGGAAAAUAGCUGGCUCAAUACAAGAACUGGUACCUGGGGGGGACAAGAGAGAGGAGAGCCAGGGCAGUCAUGGGGAACACAAGACUAAUCCUCCUGUCCCUCAAAUUGAAGCCACACACAAAGAAAGGGAUGAGCAAAGACAUCUCUGCAGGCGUGAGUGGGGAAGGGAUAAAUGGAAUGGUUCCCAGCAGUAGAAGUGCAGGCUGUGCCUUCAGCAACUCCUCUGCUGCUCUUAAGCCGUGCAGCACCUAAAGAAUGUCCUCGGGUAGGCAGAUGGCUCUGUGAUUUGUUACUGAUUUUGGUGGAACAAUUGCUGUCUUUCUAUCUGCUGCUCCCCAUCCAGGUUGGCAUGCAAUGCAGUGUUUUGCUUUGCUGAAGUUCUGUCUGCCAGAGUGAGCUGAAAACCAGAACAAGUUGGAUAGGAGCUCUGGACAUGUCCAAGAAAAACCUAGUUCUAGAGGAACGUGACAAGGUAAUGGUUGGUUAGUGCCUUCCUGCAAAAGUAUAUAGCAAACAGCUUUUGAAUGAAAACUGACUGAAGGUGGGAAAUACAAAAACAUUUUCAUCUCAUAAACAAGUUUGAAUUGUUUUGCUCUUCUAACUCUGAAGAGAAAUGAAAAACUCAGCAUUCAAGGGGUUGUUAUUGCCCCAGAAGGCAUGAGGGAAGUUUUUCACUCCCUUCACCCUCAGCCCACCAGGCAGGGUGAACAUGUUGGCUGCCCUGCUCAGCACUCCUUACCCUGAGUUUGCAAGCCAGAUGUCACAUUUCCUCUGCCACCCAGACAGCCUGGCUGUCCCACCAAGCCAACUUCUUUUUUGACAACAACCCCAAAACAAACCACAGCCACAUCUACAGGAAGCCCCUCAGCUUGGUGAGGACAUUUAGAUCAGCCCGGAGCAGUGUGACUCACAAAGGUGCUUACGUUUCUCGGAAUAUAUAUUUAGGAGAAGCCAAAGACUAUUUUGAACUUUCAACAGUUAAAGAAAAUACUGGAAUAACCUGCAGCUCACACUGAUUCACACUGAUCUAUUGCAGAAGCUACUCCCUUGUGGGUAGGUAGCAUUAAACCCACCACACACAGGGCCUUUGGGUCAGCUGGUUUCUGCUCCCCAUCACAAGUCAGCUGAAAUUAUUUGCAGGACACAGAUAGAAAAAUCAUGGCACUGGAGAAAUUGCUGCUAGUAAAUCAUCUCUGCUGCCUGGCUGGCAGCUGACAGAUAAUAGUUACCAUCAGAAAGAGUGACUGAUAAUCAAUUGAAGAAAUACAGACAGUAUUUCGGAAAAAAAAUAGCCUCACAGCAAUUUUUAGACAAAAAGCUUCUUAGUUACGGAGUAAUCUCUUAAGAAAUUAGUGCUCAAGAAGCACGGCAAUUGAAGGUGGAAAUCACAAGAGAACUGCAGAGUGUUUUUUCAUAUUUCUAUUAUACUACAUUCUCAGUCCUAAACCAGGGACUAAAAAAUCUAUGCAACCGAUCCUUGUCUUCUGCUGGGACACAGACCUCUCCACAGGACAAGUAGGAAGUUUCCAAAUCCAUGUACAGGAAGAGGAAAAUGUUCCACUUUCUCCAUUUCAGCCUAUGACACAGCAGAACUAAGGAUACUGCUGUCCAACCUUUCCAGUGAUUGUUGUGAAUGUUUCCAGGACGUGACAGGUCAUUCUCCGGUGACUUGGCUAGCAGCAUCAUAUCUCCAUUUACAGACAAUUCUCCCAAAGACCUACAUUGGUUAAUGAUGUGAAGGAGUACCAGAAAAAAAAAAUCUUGACUUUCACAAUGAUCACAGGCUGCAGCCUGACCCUUAGCCCCCUUCACUUAGCUAGCCCUUCAUCUGUCCUUGUUCUUCUUUUUCUCUUCUGGCAUGUCUUUGCCAGUUUGUUCAUAAAUCCAGCACCACUUGUUGGCUUCCUUCCCCAGCAUAACUUCUGCAUUUGACUGUCAGAGACCACAAGCAGGCAGCCUUCUAUUUGCCUUAUAUAUUCAGUCAUGGGCAAGAGUAACUCGAUAGUUAUUUCUGACUUGUAGGCUCAGGAUGCAUCAGGAUGCAUGGGUUAACUGAAUUAUUUCAUUUUCAGAACUCUGAAGUGUGAAAUAGAUUCCAACCAUAACUGGUCAUGGAUUUUUCAUUAUCUCAACUGCUUUUGCUAAACAAGGACUAUAUGCAUUACAUAUAGUCAGCACUCAGUUACUAUCACUCAGCUGCAUCUGUCUCUAGUUUGGCGAUUGCAGGACUGGUCAUGGAGAUGCAUAUGACACUGGUGAGAACCUCCAUAUAUAUUGUAGUGUCUCCAUGAUGUUUAUUCAUCUCUCUCACAGAUCAUCCUAUAACUAUUUUCUUCUUGAGCUAGUAAUGUGAAUGGAGGAAGAGUCACUCUCCAGUGUUCAAUGCGAGUGGGAUUUUGUUUUCGACUUCUAGCCCAGUGAAUGUUACAGCUGAAGAGUGCCCUUACUGAUUGCAGAACCACAGAAUGGCCAAGACUGACAGGGACAUCCAGGUCGAUCUCGUCCCAUCCCUGUUCAAGCAGGGACACCCAGAGCAGGUGUCCAGGACCAUGUCCAGGUGGCUUUGGAAGACCUCCAGGGAAGAGAAUCCACAGCCUCUGGGCAGCCUGUGCCAGUGCACCUUCAAAAUUAAAACAUGUUUCCUGAUGUUCAGAGGGAAGCUCCUGCAUCUCACUUUGUGCCAUUUGUCCUGACACCAGGCACUAGUGGGAAGAGCCUGGCUACAUUCCUUUUACAGGUUCCCUUCAGGCAUUUGAUGAUCCAUGCUGGUAACAUGGAUCUUUAUAUCUGGGUACAAUAAUGCUUUGAAGGACAAAUAUAAUACCCAUUAAAUACUGUCCUAAUGUGCCUUUCUGUGUAAGCAAUUGCUUAAAAUUGGCACAGGAAAAUAAUAUAGCAGGAAAUAGUCUGUGUGACCAUGAACAAGAACUGAGGCACUAAUCAUUGCAAGGCUUGUAGUAAAAGAAAACAGAACUUUUUUUUUUCCAAAAAGCAGAGCUGCUGUGUUCUAGGUUGCUUCAGAAAAACAUUUCAGGAAAAUGAAAGUGACGAUGAUGUGCUUACCCAAUAAACACAUGAAAUAGCUCCUUGGAAGAUACUGAAAGAGAAUUCAUGAAUUCUUUCUACCUAUUCACGAAUGGGAAUGUCUCGGUAUGAAUUCUACUUUGCUUGAACAUGGGAGCAAGUGAGACAGGAGAAACAAUAGUUCACACUCGGUCACAACCUUGGUAGCUUCUGAAAUGUUAUUAAAACAUGAUGUCGAAGCUGACAGCAGUGAAGCUGGCACUCCUGGCUCCUGAGAACGUUAUUUUUUGGUUUCCAUAGUAAGUUUUAACAAACAGAGCUAGGACCUGGUUGGAAAAAAAAAAAAAAAAAAGAAAAUUUAUAAGGGGAAAUCUCAAGAAGUGGUGCUCUUCAAGGAGGUCUGCAGACAGAACAGAAAUGUUUAGGGAUCAAAACGGUUGAGGUCUGUCUCUCACGGGAGUUAUCAAGACUCCUGGUAUGAUAGUUCUAAACACUGCCGUGCAAUUAAGUCAUGUACCAACCAUGCUGAUGCAAAACAUACACCAGCACAGAGCCAGGUCUGGAGUCAAAGACUUCAGUACUGCAGUAACUUAAAGCCAAGGGUAUCCCCUUAGGAAUGUGGUGCUUGGCCCAGAAAGGGUAUCAUUACGUUCUCUUUUUAUGGCUUCCAAAUCCAGACAGUUCUAGGUAUAUAAUGCAGUUGCCAUUCAUUUUUUCAGUUUAAUGGACAGUUGUCCAGUUCUGAUUUCACUAAGAUAGACAUCAUAAAAUGCAGGUCAUUAAUUACAUCCCGUACCAUGGGGAAAACAACAUGAUACAAUGGAAUUGACCCAUUAAAGAAGAUGAAUUAACGGUGUGUUCUCCCUGAGACAUUGCUUAUGGCCAAUCCAGCCCAAGUGUGCAGGAAGAGUGAGCAAAGGGGCUCCAACUUACAACCAUACUUUGAAUAAGGGAGAUUUUUCGAGAUGUUUUUGUUCAAUUUUAAAUAAUAUUAUUCAUGACAUAUAGACUGUAUCAACAGUCUACAGGAUCAGUCUUCUAGUUGCAAAUUUUCCCAGCAUAAAGCUGCGUCCAGGUAUCCAAGACAUUGUCCCAUAUACCAUAUACCCAUAUUAUACAAGUAAAGAACUUUCCUAACAAAAAACCAUCAAGGUUUUCUGGCUCACAUUUGAAAAAUAUUUUAGAAUACCCAACCUGACCUCUGUGUGGCCAGACAUUGAUAUUUUGCUUCAACCCAAGAAUUUAUUAAGACUUACAUGAAAAUAUUCCAUCUUAACAUAGUACACAUCGGUAGCAUCUGAAUACAUAUUUACAGAUUUAUUUGAACUCUUCUGAACUGCAAUUCUACAACCGAGCAACAUAUCCAUAAGUGUUUCAUAAACUUUUGAACACUUACAUAUUUAUACAUAUAGUUUUUGCAUAUAUAUAUAUAUAAAAAUAUUUUUGAGACUCAAGGACUGAGAAUAGUCAAAAGGACAUUAUUGCUACAUUUCCAUAUUUACAAAAACAAUGCAUAAAACCAUUCAAACACUAAGCCAUUGCAAAAUAAGUUUCAACCCCCCCCAAAUUAUAAAAAUAUAAAUUUUAAGAAAGAAAAAACCCAAACUUUUUUCAGCUAAAUGUCCAUAAAGUAC